This is a long non-coding RNA of Bolinopsis microptera, 255 nucleotides long. RefSeq lists it as uncharacterized. NCBI's taxonomy places the organism in Eukaryota, Metazoa, Ctenophora, Tentaculata, Lobata, Bolinopsidae. The record is from RefSeq and is a predicted model, not a curated record. The transcript has 3 exons.
AAGAAGAUUGUUUACUGUAUUACUGGGCUGAGUAUUGGUAUCAUUGCUGUAGUGACUAUGAUAACAGUAGCUCUAACAAAGACUCAUUUAGAUGGAGACAAUAUAGAAGAAAGACCUAGACUGUGGAUAUGCACAUUGGCAGGGGAUAAUGCUUCAAAAGAAAAGUGUGAAAAUGUUGGCUGCACUUACAAUGAAACUGCAACUGAGGACACCCCGAAUUUCCCAAAAUGCUUUUACCCAACAACAAACUUUGGU